GGUCUGGUGGUCUAGCGGUAUGAUUCUCGCUUAGGGAACACCCUGAAGCUCAGCUUGCGAGAGGUCCCGGGUUCAAUCCCCGGCCAGACCC
This 91-nucleotide transfer RNA is filed under the name Dactylonectria estremocensis. RNAcentral's name for it is "tRNA-Pro". The record is from RNAcentral. Lineage: Eukaryota; Fungi; Ascomycota; Sordariomycetes; Hypocreales; Nectriaceae.